GAUGAACGCUGGCGGCGUGCCUAAUACAUGCAAGUCGAGCGAACAGACGAGGAGCUUGCUCCUCUGACGUUAGCGGCGGACGGGUGAGUAACACGUGGAUAACCUACCUAUAAGACUGGGAUAACUUCGGGAAACCGGAGCUAAUACCGGAUAAUAUAUUGAACCGCAUGGUUCAAUAGUGAAAGACGGUUUUGCUGUCACUUAUAGAUGGAUCCGCGCCGCAUUAGCUAGUUGGUAAGGUAACGGCUUACCAAGGCAACGAUGCGUAGCCGACCUGAGAGGGUGAUCGGCCACACUGGAACUGAGACUCGGUCCAGACUCCUACGGGAGGCAGCAGUAGGGAAUCUUCCGCAAAGGGCGAAAGCUUGACGGAGCAACGCCGCGUGAGUGAUGAAGGUCUUCGGAUCGUAAAACUCUGUUAUUAGGGAAGAACAAAUGUGUAAGUAACUAUGCACGUCUUGACGGUACCUAAUCAGAAAGCCACGGCUAACUACGUG
Molecule: ribosomal RNA, 497 nt
Filed under: uncultured bacterium
Lineage: Bacteria
Description: partial 16S ribosomal RNA
Rfam family: Bacterial small subunit ribosomal RNA
Source: RNAcentral